AUAGGCAUGAACCACUAUGCCCAACCCAUCCACAUGUAUUUUAAAUGAUGAUUUUUUUUUUUUUUUUAACUGAAAGAGUUUAUGAAACUGGCUCUCACUUAGGACACCUAAGAACCAAAGGCAAUGUGUGGACUUUGAUUGGGCCUGGUGUGAAAAAACAGCUGGAAAAGGCAUUACUGGGAUAACAGAACGCUUAAAUAGCAUCUCAGUAUUAAAUAAUAUUAAAUAAUUAUUGGAAAUUGUUAGUUGUGAUAAUAGUACUGUUAAACCUAGGUGAUGAGUUUGAAUGAUGGAUUUGAAGCCAAACUCUUGCUUUCCAGCUUUGUGAGCUUGGGCAAAUUGUUUAGCUUUUGUGCUUUGGUAGCUGUUUAAUGAUAUAGUAUAGUGCUUGACAAAAGUAAGUGUUGAAUUUAUUUUUUAUUGUAACUAAUAUUGCAUGUUUAAUCCCCAGGAUUUCUGGUACUCUCUUUUUGGUACUUUCUUCUAUCUCUUCUUACUUACCUUGGUUAGUAUCUUGAAUCAAGAACUUCCUGGGUCUCUAUUCCAAUACCUUUUUCUUAAGAAACGAUUCCCUCACCUUUCUUAUUGACAGAAUAAAGAAAGAGAGCUUUUCUUUGCUUUUCCUCUUCCCUCAUUCUCCUUCCUAGAUUUCUGGUUAAGAAGAAUAAAUUAGAAUAAGCAAAAAAGUUUUGAGGUAGGACAUAUAUUUUAAUGAUUAACUCAAUCAAGGUCUGUGCAGCUUUAUUCUAGAGACUGAUUCCUCUUCUCAAGUUGUGUAUAUUACAGUAAAGGUGAAUGGAUACACACACACACACACACACAUACACAUAUGUAUUUGUAUAUGUGUGCAGAGGAUGUUUCCUUAAGAAGAACCUAGAUCAUAGAGUGCUUUAAAAUCAGUUAAUCACUUAGCAUGCUUAUGAAUCUGAAGUUAGUGGGAUGUUUGCAUUGAAUAUUCUGAAGUUAAUGAGGUAUUCUAAAUUAAUUUUAACUUCUGAGUCUCCAGGAAAGCUUUCAGAAUUUAUACUUACUACCCAGGUGAGAAGUUGCAGUAGAAUAAAAGGGAAUCUUUCCCAAACUUGUGGAAUUUUAGAGUCGGAACGGGCCUUAGACAUUCCAGUGCUUCAUUUGCCACAUGAGAAGGCUGAUAUCUGAACCAAACAGAUAAUUUCAGAACCUCUGGAUACCAAACUUGUGAAGCUAAAACAGAAAUGUCAACUUGGGAUUUAGAGGAAAAUAAUAAUGCGUAGAAACGGUUUUGAAAAAAAGGUUUUAGAUAUUUUUGUGCUCCGUGUUUUCCUGCAUAUGUCUCCCUUUUCUCUGCCAAACUGCUUUUCACACCCGGUCCUUGGACUCUUUGAGCACUUCCCUGCCAUAUAACUGACUUUCAGAAAUUGAAUGAAGCUGUAAAUGUCGAAGCAGGACUGGCCAUAAGAGUCUCUUAAUACCUGGAUAGUCCAGUCACAAAGGUCUUUACUGUCAUUCAGCUGACUUUUGGCUCGCUAAAUAUAGCUGAAUAUCACAAAUUCUAAUUGUUAAAACCCUCCCUCAUUUUAAUUUUGAACUAGAAAACUAGACAAAAUUUGGUAAGAAUAAAUUUCAGCAAACUGUAGAAUUAUGAUCUAGAGUAUCUCAAAAUUUUAUCCCAUUUUACUUUGAAUAAUGUUAGAAAUAUACUAUGCUAGGCUGUCAGUUGGAUCCUUUUAGUACUACAUAAGUAAGUUAUAAAUUACCUAAAUUCCUCUCAGUACUUUCAGAGAAAGCUAACAUUACCGUAAUUGUGGAAAAAUUAGAGACUGACCUAAAAGCUCCUCUGCUCCUUUUCAAAUCUCCUCCUGGUUCAGCCUGCCUGCCUCCACUUCUGCCUCCACCGUGUCCAUCAGGGUGACCUAGCAGCCCUACAGGGUAUUCACCUCUGGCCCCCGGGCCUUCAGCAGUUGCUCCUACAUGAGCAGGCCCAGGGCCUGUAUCAGCUCCUUGAUUGUCUCCCUAGUGGGCAGCAGCAGCAGCUUCCAGGGUGUCUGGGGCGCUGGCAUGGGUCUGGCUAGAGGCUAUGGUGGGGCCAGGAGUAGGGGAGGCAUCACAGUCAUCACAGUUAACCAGAACCUGCUGAGCCACCUUAAGCUGGAAGUGGACCCCAACAUUCAGGCCAUGUGCACCCAGAAGAAGGAGCAGAUUUAGACCCUCAACAACAACUUUGCCUCCUUCAUCGACAAGGUGCAGUUCAUGGAGCAGCAGAACAAGAUGCUGGGAACCAAGUGGAGCCUCCUGCAGCAGCAGAAGACGGCUCAGAGCAACAUGGACAACAUGUUCGAGAGUGACUUCAACAGCCUUCUGUGGCAGCUGGACACUCUGGGCCAGGAGAAGCUGAAGCUGGAGGCAGAGCUUGGCAACACGCAGGAGAUGGUAGAGAACUUCAAGAACAAGUACAAAAAUGAGAUCAAUAACCGUACAGAGCUGGAGAAUGAAUUUGUUCUCAUCAAGAAGGAUGUGGAUGAAGCUUAUGUGAACAAGGUAGAGGUGGAGUCUCACCUGGAAGGGCUGACUGAUGAGAUCAACUUCCUUAGGCAGCUUUGUGAAGAGGAGAUCCGGGAGCUGCAGUUCCCGACCUUGUGCACAUCAGUGGUGCUGUCCUUGGACAACAGCUGCUCCCUGGACAUGGUCAGCAUCAUUGCUGAGGUCAAGGCCCGGUAUGAGGAGACGGCUAACCGCAGCCGGGCCAAGGCUGAGAGCAUGUACCAGAUCAAGUAUGAGAAGCUGCAGACGCUGGCCUGGAAUCAUGGGGAUGACCUGCGUUGUACAAAGACUGAGAUCUCCAAGAUGAACCGGAACAUCAGCUGGCUCCAGGCUGAGAUUGAGGGCCUUAAAGGCCAGAGGGCUUCCCUGGAGGCCACCAUCUCAGAUGCCAAGCCGCACUGGGAGCUGACCAUUAAGGAUGCCAAUGCCAAGCUUUCUGAGCUGGAGGCUGCCCUACAGCAGACCAAGAAGGACAUGUGUGGCCUCUGCAUGAGUACCAGGAGCUGAUGAAUGUCAAGCUUGCCCUGGACAUCGAGAUUGCCACCUACAGGAAGCUGCUGGAGGGUAAGGAGAGCUGGCUGGAGUCUGGGAUGCAGAACAUGAGUAUCCAUAUGAAGACCACCAGUGGCUAUGCAGACGAGCUGAGCUUCGCCUACAGGGACUUAACAAGCCCUGGCCUCACCUAUGGCCUGGGCUCCAGCUUUGGUUCUGGCAGGGGCUGGAGCCAGCUCCUUCAGCUGUACCAGCUCCUUCAGGGCUGUGGCUGUAAAGAAGAUCAAGACCCGUGAUGGGAAGCUGGUGUUCAAAUCCUCUGAUGUCCUGCCGAAGUGAAGGGCCACAGCAGCCCCACCCAGUCUACCUACCCUGGGGCUGCCCCAGAGCCUGUUGGAGAGGCUACAGUGCAGGGCUGCACAGGAAACAGGAGACCCACCUGUUUUAGUCCCUUUUCACACUGCUUAUAAAGACAUACCCAAGACUUGGAAGAAAAAGAGGUUUAAUGGGCUUACAGUUCCACAAGGCUGGGGAGUCCUUAAAAUCCACCGCACCCAGCGAAAAAUUUUAAAAAAUAAUUAUAACUGGCCGAGGCAGGUGGAUUACCUGAGGUCUGGAAUUCGAGACCAGCCUGGCCAACAUGGUGAAACCCCAUCUCUACUGAAAAUAUAAAAAUUA
RNA transcript from Piliocolobus tephrosceles (Ugandan red Colobus), 3687 nucleotides. It is a transcript of the gene named keratin, type II cytoskeletal 8 pseudogene, with no coding region annotated. NCBI's taxonomy places the organism in Eukaryota, Metazoa, Chordata, Mammalia, Primates, Cercopithecidae. The transcript has a single exon. The record is from RefSeq and is a predicted model, not a curated record.